GAUGAACGCUGGCGGCGUGCCUAAUACAUGCAAGUCGAGCGAACAGACGAGGAGCUUGCUCCUCUGACGUUAGCGGCGGACGGGUGAGUAACACGUGGAUAACCUACCUAUAAGACUGGGAUAACUUCGGGAAACCGGAGCUAAUACCGGAUAAUAUAUUGAACCGCAUGGUUCAAUAGUGAAAGACGGUUUUGCUGUCACUUAUAGAUGGAUCCGCGCCGCAUUAGCUAGUUGGUAAGGUAACGGCUUACCAAGGCAACGAUGCGUAGCCGACCUGAGAGGGUGAUCGGCCCCACUGGAACAGAGACACGGUCCAGCCUCCUACGGGAGGCAGCAGUAGGGAAUCUUCAGCAAUGGGAGAAAGCCUGACGGAGCAACGCCGCGUGAGUGAUGAAGGUCUUCGGAUCGUAAAACUCUGUUAUUAGGGAAGAACAACUGUGUAAGUAACUAUGCACGUAUCGACGGUACCUAAUCAGAAAGCAACGGCUAACUACGUG
Molecule: ribosomal RNA, 497 nt
Filed under: uncultured bacterium
Lineage: Bacteria
Description: partial 16S ribosomal RNA
Rfam family: Bacterial small subunit ribosomal RNA
Source: RNAcentral